GACGAACGCUGGCGGCGUGCUUAACACAUGCAAGUCGAGCGGUAAGGCCCUUUCGGGGGUACGACGAGCGGCGAACGGGUGAGUAACACGUGGGUGACCUGCCCUCAGCUCUGGGAUAAGCCCGGGAAACUGGGUCUAAUACCGGAUAUGACUUCAUGACGCAUGUUGUGGAGUGGAAAGCCUCGUGCGGCUGAGGAUGGGCCCGCGGCCUAUCAGCUUGUUGGUGGGGUGAUGGCCUACCAAGGCGACGACGGGUAGCCGGCCUGAGAGGGCGACCGGCCACACUGGGACUGAGAUACGGCCCAGACUCCUACGGGAGGCAGCAGUGGGGAAUCUUGCGCAAUGGGCGAAAGCCUGACGCAGCGACGCCGCGUGAGGGAUGACGGCCU
This 389-nucleotide ribosomal RNA is filed under the name uncultured bacterium. Its description in RNAcentral is "bacterial SSU rRNA". It matches the Rfam family "Bacterial small subunit ribosomal RNA", at positions 28 to 417 of the family's 1533-position model. The record is from RNAcentral.